AAAAUUGCAGUGAAGGAAAGAGUAAAUUUAAUUAAGUUUUCAGAGAGCCGGGCGUCAAGCUGUGAACCGGUAACGAGAUUAAGUUGAAGAACAUUCCGGAGUAGUUAACCAAAAUCGUUUUGAAAGUAGGCUUAAACGGAUGUCCACCGUUAAAGGGAAUAGGUAUCGAUGUCUAUAAUAUGGCAUUCGUACUGAUUAAGUUAGCAAUUUUUUUGCUAAAUAGGGUGGCACCGCGUUAUAUAAUCGCCCCUAUA
RNAcentral lists this non-coding RNA (254 nucleotides) under Clostridium acetobutylicum. RNAcentral's name for it is "T-box sequence". It matches the Rfam family "T-box leader". From Rfam's summary of the family: Uncharged tRNA acts as the effector for transcription antitermination of genes in the T-box leader family. T-boxes are found upstream of many aminoacyl-tRNA synthetase genes and some amino acid biosynthetic genes usually in Gram-positive bacteria. The record is from RNAcentral. Lineage: Bacteria; Bacillati; Bacillota; Clostridia; Eubacteriales; Clostridiaceae.